Molecule: transfer RNA, 58 nt
Filed under: Anisakis simplex (herring worm)
Lineage: Eukaryota; Metazoa; Nematoda; Chromadorea; Rhabditida; Anisakidae
Description: tRNA-Ser
Source: RNAcentral
AAACUAUUAUUUUGUGUUUUGAAAACACAAUAGAGGACUUGUCCUGUAGUUUUGUGUA